This 1465-nucleotide long non-coding RNA is filed under the name Fukomys damarensis (Damara mole-rat). Its description in RNAcentral is "lncRNA (ENSFDAG00000023245.1)". Lineage: Eukaryota; Metazoa; Chordata; Mammalia; Rodentia; Bathyergidae. The record is from RNAcentral.
UGGGUUCUUCUCCUGCUUGCUUACUUUCCCGAGGUGUCGCUCCUGCGGGAGUCCUGGGCUGGCUGACUGUGUGUUCUCUUUUCCAGGAGGGCGUUGUCACAGAGUCCCAGGUGCACUGUGUCGUUCACUGUAGAAACCCAGUGGAGCGCCCGGGAGCCUGCUGCCCCACCUGUCCAGGCUGCCUGUUCCAAGGUGUGCAGUACGGCGAGGGAGAGGCGUUUUGGCCGGAAGGGAGCAAGUGCACCAAGUGUUCCUGCCUCCAGUAGCUCGGCAACAGUGGCCAGUGUGCAGGGCCGCUGUGGGGACGUCUGCCUGAGAAUGCCGGGUUCCCGGGCCUGGCCGGGCUGUGCAGCACCAGGUGCAAAGUGGGCCAGGGCUGUCCAGCUGUGGACCGCGGGCUCUGGUGGGUGCAGUACGUCGGGGGAGAGGCUGUCCUGCCGAGCCGGAGGACAGAACUGGAGCAUCAGGCUUCAGGAUCUCCACACGGCACAGGAAGGAAUACAGCAACCUGCAGUGCUCUGAUGAAAAGGAAAACAUUAACGCAGCAGAGAGAGAUGCAAGCACACUGUGCCUUUGAGUAGGACGCUGUCCCUCGUCACCUCCCGGGGAUUGGUGUCAGGACCCACCACGGACAUCGAUGCCCACAGACCAAGUCCCUGUCCUUCUGUCCUAUGCCUGUCUAACCUGCACACUUCCCUCCUGAGGACUUUAAGUCACCCUAGAUUGCUUGCAAUACUAAAACAGCGCAGCUGCUGUGUAUUUGUUGUGCUCUAUCGUUUAGGAAGUGAUGACAAGAAAAAAAAUCUAUGUGCCGAGUACAGACAAGUAUUUUCCAAAUAUUCUCGGUCUGUGAGUGGUUGACCCCAUAGGUGUGGAACCCAUGGAUAUGGAAGCCAGCUCCGUUAUAUGGACCUGUAUUUGUGUGUACGUGUGUCUGUGAGUGCGUGUGGACACACGUCUGCACGUAUGACCCAAAUAUGGUCAAAAUGAGUGAUGAACAGUAAAGCACACAUCACCAUCGAUCCUGUUCGCGACCCUCCCUCUCUUCAGACGCACUUAGCUCAUCGUUCCUGCCAUUUUCUGAAGCGGUUCUGAAAGUCUUCUUUCACGAGUGUCUUUCUGCGGUGUGGGUAUAAACACCGUGAAUGCUGCUGCGGAGUGCCGUCCCACGGACAGGUACACACAUAGCAACGUGCUGGUGAGUCCUCAUCCACCUCCCUCAUCACCUCUGGUACUGCGAGACUGCUGGCUCUUCCUCAAAGUCAAAAUAAGCAUAAAAGGGGAAGGUUUUGAAUGGACUCGGGACAUUGGGGCAGCCACAGCAGCAAUGAAGGAUACUCGGGACAGAGGACUUGCAGAACUGCUUCAGAAAGUGCAGUACAAAGUGCGUUCAAAGUGAGGGGAGUGUUGCCGAGGAUUAAUAGCCACGCGUCUUCUACUGUCAUGAAUUUUUAAGAGUCGGAAC